Molecule: ribosomal RNA, 802 nt
Filed under: Streptomyces sp.
Lineage: Bacteria; Bacillati; Actinomycetota; Actinomycetes; Kitasatosporales; Streptomycetaceae
Description: bacterial SSU rRNA
Rfam family: Bacterial small subunit ribosomal RNA
Source: RNAcentral
GAUCGGGUGAGUAACACGUGGGCAAUCUGCCCUGCACUCUGGGACAAGCCCUGGAAACGGGGUCUAAUACCGGAUACUGAUCCUCGCAGGCAUCUGCGAGGUUCGAAAGCUCCGGCGGUGCAGGAUGAGCCCGCGGCCUAUCAGCUAGUUGGUGAGGUAACGGCUCACCAAGGCGACGACGGGUAGCCGGCCUGAGAGGGCGACCGGCCACACUGGGACUGAGACACGGCCCAGACUCCUACGGGAGGCAGCAGUGGGGAAUAUUGCACAAUGGGCGAAAGCCUGAUGCAGCGACGCCGCGUGAGGGAUGACGGCCUUCGGGUUGUAAACCUCUUUCAGCAGGGAAGAAGCGAAAGUGACGGUACCUGCAGAAGAAGCGCCGGCUAACUACGUGCCAGCAGCCGCGGUAAUACGUAGGGCGCAAGCGUUGUCCGGAAUUAUUGGGCGUAAAGAGCUCGUAGGCGGCUUGUCACGUCGGUUGUGAAAGCCCGGGGCUUAACCCCGGGUCUGCAGUCGAUACGGGCAGGCUAGAGUUCGGUAGGGGAGAUCGGAAUUCCUGGUGUAGCGGUGAAAUGCGCAGAUAUCAGGAGGAACACCGGUGGCGAAGGCGGAUCUCUGGGCCGAUACUGACGCUGAGGAGCGAAAGCGUGGGGAGCGAACAGGAUUAGAUACCCUGGUAGUCCACGCCGUAACGGUGGGCACUAUGUGUGGGCAACAUUCCACGUUGUCCGUGCCGCAGCUAACGCAUUAAGUGCCCCGCCUGGGGAGUACGGCCGCAAGCUAAACUCAAGGAAUUGACGGG